CCUACGGGAGGCAGCAGUGAGGAAUAUUGGACAAUGGGCGCGAGCCUGAACCAGCCAAGUAGCGUGAAGGAUGACUGCCCUACGGGUGUGAAGCUUCUUCUAUAAAGGAAUAAAGUGAGGCACGUAUGCCUUUUUGUAUGGACUUUAUGAGUAAGGAUCGGCUAACUCCGUGCCAGCAGCCGCGGUAAUACGGAGGAUCCGAGCGUUAUGCGGAUUUAUUGGGCUUAAAGGGAGCGUAGAUGGGUGGUUAAGUCAGUUGUGAAGGUUUGCGGCUCAACCGGAAAAUGGCAAUCGAUACUGGCAGCCUAGAGUAUAGUUGAGGUAGGUGGAAUUCGUGGUGUAGCGGUGAAAUGCUUAGAUAUCACGAAGAACUCCGAUUGCGAAGGCAGCCUACUAAACUGAGACUGACAUUGAUGUGCGAAAGCGUGGGUAUCAAACAGGAUUAGAUACCCUUGUAGUC
Molecule: ribosomal RNA, 460 nt
Filed under: uncultured bacterium
Lineage: Bacteria
Description: partial 16S ribosomal RNA
Rfam family: Bacterial small subunit ribosomal RNA
Source: RNAcentral